RNAcentral lists this ribosomal RNA (396 nucleotides) under uncultured bacterium. Its description in RNAcentral is "partial 16S ribosomal RNA". It matches the Rfam family "Bacterial small subunit ribosomal RNA", at positions 523 to 918 of the family's 1533-position model. The record is from RNAcentral.
AUACGUCGGUGACAAGCGUUAUCCGGAUUUACUGGGCGUAAAGGGAGCGUAGACGGCGAAGCAAGUCUGAAGUGAAAGGACGGGGCCCAACCCCGGCACUGCUUUGGAAACUGUUUGGCUGGAGUGCGGGAGGGGUAAGCGGAAUUCCUAGUGUAGCGGUGAAAUGCGUAGAUAUUAGGAGGAACACCGGUGGCGAAGGCGGCUUACUGGACCGUAACUGACGUUGAGGCUCGAAGGCGUGGGGAGCAAACAGGAUUAGAUACCCCGGUAGUCCACGCGGUAAACGAUGAUCACUAGGUGUCCGUGGGUAUGACCCAUGGGUGCCGCAGCCAACGCAAUAAGUGAUCCACCUGGGGAGUACGUUCGCAAGAAUGAAACUCAAAGGAAUUGACGGGG